GGUCAAGAAGAGAAGCGCAAACGGUGGAUGCCUUGGCAGUAAGAGGCGAAGAAGGACGUGGAAUCCUGCGAAAAGCUAUGGGGAGCUGGAAACGAGCGUUGAGCCAUAGAUGUCCGAAUGGGGGAACCCGGCUGCAGCGAUGCGGUCAUUUGCAUUUGAAUACAUAGGAUGCAAAGGCGAACUCGGGGAACUGAAACAUCUAAGUACCCGAAGGAAAAGAAAUCAAGAGAGAUUCUCCAAGUAGCGGCGAGCGAACGGGGAGGAGCCUGGCGUGAUUUAUUAUUGAACUGAGUAGAACAAUUUGGGAAAGUUGGCCGAAGAGGGUGAAAGCCCCGUAUACGAAGGUUUGAUGAGGAACUAGGCACGCGAACAAGUAGGCCGGGACACGUGAAAUCCUGGUUGAAGAUGGGUGGACCAUCAUCCAAGGCUAAAUACUACUUACUGACCGAUAGUGAACCAGUACCGUGAGGGAAAGGUGAAAAGAACCCCGGAGAGGGGAGUGAAAUAGAAUCUGAAACCGUUUGCGUACAAGCAGUGGGAGCAUGGUUUAGGCUGUGUGACUGCGUACCUUUUGUAUAAUGGGUCAGCGAGUUACUUUCAGUGGCGAGGUUAACUGAAUAAGGGAGCCGUAGAGAAAUCGAGUCUGAAUAGGGCGAUAGUCGCUGGGAGUAGACCCGAAACCGGGCGAUCUAGCCAUGUGCAGGAUGAAGGUUGGGUAACACCAACUGGAGGUCCGAACCGGGUAAUGUUGAAAAAUUAUCGGAUGACGUGUGGCUAGGAGUGAAAGGCUAAUCAAGCCCGGAGAUAGCUGGUUCUCCCCGAAAGCUAUUUAGGUAGCGCCUCGUGAAUGAUUACUGGGGGUAGAGCACUGUUUCGGCUAGGGGGCUGUCAUGGCUUACCAAACCGAUGCAAACUCCGAAUACCGGCUAAUUGAAUCACGGGAGACACACGGCGGGUGCUAACGUCCGUCGUGGAGAGGGAAACAACCCAGACCGCCAGCUAAGGUCCCCAAGUACUAGUUAAGUGGGAAACGAUGUGGGAAGGCAUAGACAGCCAGGAGGUUGGCUUAGAAGCAGCCACCCUUUAAAGAAAGCGUAAUAGCUCACUGGUCGAGUCGGCCUGCGCGGAAGAUGUAACGGGGCUAAAACUAGUCACCGAAGCUGCGGAUGUGCGCGAAGGCGCACGUGGUAGGGGAGCGUUCUGUAGGCUGAUGAAGGUGCAUUGAGAAGUGUGCUGGAGGUAUCAGAAGUGCGAAUGCUGACAUGAGUAACGAUAAUGUGGGUGAAAAGCCCACACGCCGGAAGUCCCAGGUUUCCUGCACGACGUUAAUCGGAGCAGGGUGAGUCGGCCCCUAAGGCGAGGCUGAAGAGCGUAGUCGAUGGGAACCAGGUUAAUAUUCCUGGACUUUUUAUAAGUGGUGAAGUGGGGACGAAGAAGGCUAGGUGAGCCAGGCGUUGGUUGUC
RNAcentral lists this ribosomal RNA (1463 nucleotides) under Legionella pneumophila. RNAcentral's name for it is "partial 23S ribosomal RNA". It matches the Rfam family "Bacterial large subunit ribosomal RNA", at positions 1 to 1506 of the family's 2925-position model. Lineage: Bacteria; Pseudomonadati; Pseudomonadota; Gammaproteobacteria; Legionellales; Legionellaceae. The record is from RNAcentral.